Molecule: long non-coding RNA, 1985 nt
Organism: Oncorhynchus tshawytscha (Chinook salmon)
Lineage: Eukaryota; Metazoa; Chordata; Actinopteri; Salmoniformes; Salmonidae
Source: Ensembl
UCCAAUGAGUUGGUUUCUUAUGAGAAACCAACUGCCUCAACGGAUAUAUUAUCAAAUACAUACGUUAAAAACACCUUGAGGAUGGAUACUAAACAACGUUUGCCGUGUUUCUGUCGAUAUUAUGGAGUUAAUUUUGAAAAAAGUUUGGCGUUGUAAUGGUAGCAUUUUCCGGUCGAUUUCUCAGCCAAGCAUAAUGAACAAACGGGAUACAGUUAUGUGGAUAUAUUGAAGCAACAUCUCAAGACAUCAGUCAAGAAGUUAAAGGUUGGUCUCAAAAGGGUCUUCAAAAUGGACAAUGACCCCAAGCAUACUUCCAAAGUUGUGGCAAAAUGGCCUAAGGACAGCAAAGUCAAGGUAUUGGAGUGGCCAUCACAAAGCCCUGACCUCAAUCCUAUAGAAAAUGUGUGGGCAUUACAGAAUAGCAUGUGCGAGCAAGGAGGCCUACAAACCUGACUCAGUUACACCAGCUCUGUUAGGAGGAAUGGGCCAAAAUUCCCCCAACUUAUUGUGGGAAGCUUGUGGAAGGCUACCCCGAAACGUUUGACCCAAAUUAACCUCUCUAGGGUAGGGGGCAGCAUUAGGAAUUUUGGAUGAAAAGUAAGCCCAAAUCAAAUGGCCUGCUACUCGAAACCAGAAGAUAUGAUAUGCAGAUAACAUAUAAUUUGGAUAGAAAACACUAAAGUUUCCAAAACGGUUAAAAUAGUGUCUGUGAGUAUAACAGAAAAGAUUUAGCAGGCGAAAACCUGAGAAAAAUCCAUACAGGAAGUCGUUGUUUUUUCCCAGUUUUGUAGUUUUCUAUUCAAUGCCAUUACAGUAUCCAUUGACUUAGGUCUCCAUUUGCAGUUCCUAUGCAUUCCACUAGAUGUCAACAGUCAUUAGAAAUCGUUUCAGGCUUGUAUUCUUAUAAAUGAGGGAGUAAGACCAGUCUGAACGAGUGGACGCUAACGUGUCAGAGUUUUUUGAGGCGCAUGUGCAUUUCUUGUUUACCUUUUAUAUUGAUGACGUUGUUGUCCGGUUGAAAUAUUAUAGAUCAUUUAGGCUAAAAAAACAUCCUGAGGAUUGAAUACAUCGUUUGAUAUGUUUCUAUGAACCAUUUGGAUUUUUUGUCUAAUUGUUUUGACUGAGUUUGAGCCUGUGGAUUACUGAAGAAAACGCUUUAACAAAGGUUUUUGGAUAUAAAGAGACUUCAUUGAACAAAAGGAACAUUUAUUGAGUAAAUUCAUGUCUUCUGAUUGCCACCAUAUGAAGAUCAUCAAAGAUUUUGUCAGACAGGGACUUCGCACCUAUGGAUGAUUUUGCCUUUAUUGGAGCACACUUCAUAACACCUGCCUUCAUCCACGGUCGGAAGCAGUUGCCAGGGAAAGAGGUAGAGCAGUCAAGAGUGAAAUCAGUGGAUUCCCAUAGAGAGGGUGAUAGCCACAUAACCUGCCCCUGGUUAAGAACCUGAAGGAUGAGAGUGAAGACAAAGAAGAGGCAACACUCGUCAAAAUCAACAAGACUGGCAGUGUGGUUAAACUGCAAUACCACUGCCUGCCCUACUGCAGCUGACGCCUGCCCUCCUGCUGCUGCCUGCACUGCUGAUGCCUGCCACACUGCUGCUGAUUCCUGUGCUACUGUUGCCUGUACUGCUGAUGCCUACCCUGCUGAUGCCUACCCUGGUGCUGCCUGCCAUCCUGCCUGCAUUGCCAUUACCACUGGGUUGUAGGGAUACUUGUCAACCACAAUCGUGUCAACCACAAUCUGCUCGUGAUGCUUGCCCCAGAGUGUCCAUGGCUACUUCACCUCCCUGUUCCUCUGAUGGCAGAUUCUGUUGAUAAGGGAUUGCGAUGGAUUAUCAUUAGAGGUGUAUAUUACACGGACCAUGCCUCAGGAAUACCUGGCCUGAUGACUCCUUGCUGUCCCCAGUCCACCUGGCUGUGCUGCUGCUCCAGUUCAAACUGUUUUGCCGGUGGCUAUGGAACCCUGACCUGUUCACCGGGUGUGCU